CAGGGGAGGCCGAUUAAUCAGCAACAGCGACACCGGAAACUCCCGCCUUUUUCAUAGAACCAGCCAAUCAGAAGACAGCUCUACAGAGAGUCCUACGAGUCUGCAAGAUGAUACCCGUCCGAGAUGGAUUUUAUUUCUACGUAAAGCAGAGGUCAAAAAGACUUUUGACUCGAACCCCGAGUAUGCAAGGGUUACUAUCUUGGUGUCGGUGGAGACUCUUUGACAUCUCAUUGAACCGUUUGAAAAGGAAAGCAAAGACCAGCUCAGACCAAAGGUUAAACGAGACUCAACCCCAACCAAUGACGCGAAGUUGGAGAGCGUGACGAAGCUGCAAUGAAACACAGACCGUGGAGUCUCUGACAUGAACCACUGCAGAUUUCUAUCUCCGUGUCUGACACAGCUCUGUCUGACUUCCUGAGAAAAGUUCUGAUACUGAUCUCACAACUGGCACGUGGUGGAAAAUCUCAGUCCAUUAAACAAUACUGAUUUAUAUAAUGAUAUCAAAAAUUAAAUAAAACAGAUUUAAAGUUUACAAGUUGCUAGGUGGUGAACAAAUGUCCGGAAAUCACACUGAUAUGAUGGGUUGGAGACAAAAGAUCUCAGACUUUUUUCUAUUGUGAAGAAGACACGUUUUCAAAUUAGCCGCCAACACCGCCACCUCCUGGUUAAUUUCUGUUACUACAUGCUCUAAGCGUUUUAGUGGACUGAUGUGGUCGUUCUGUAGUUUGACUUUUAAACAAACGAAAACCAAGAAAAUCUUUGUUAUUCUUGCUUGAAUGGCCCAAUGUUUUGACGUUUUUAACAGGUUCUUGUGGCAUUUUUCUGAUUAUGGAGGGCAUAUAAAAAGAAAAUUUGGCUCAGAAUUACAUUUCUGAGUAUUUUCCUUUUUCAAAUUAGGAGUAGAUGAAAAAAAAGCUGUUUAGAAUACAUUGUAAUUGUGAAAUAAAGCAUAUAUUUAAGAAUUUAUUCUCCUAAAUUGCUAUUUUUUCAUAUUCAAGCUAUUUUUUCCUCAUAUUUUUUAUGUUUUUCUCACAAUUUGAUGACAUUAUUUUCAAAUAUUUGUUUAUUUUUCUUAUUUUGCCCUAAUACUCCACCAUAAGCACAUAUCACAGGGAAUAACUUCUAGAACAUUUUAAGGUGGACCAUAUUUUCAGAGAUAAAACUGAGAGGCCUUAAUGAGUUUAUCAAAAGAAGAGAAGUUCAGGUACAUCUCAUUGUGCUUUGUUUUGGUCACUUUAAAUUAAAAAAAAAAA
Molecule: long non-coding RNA, 1253 nt
Organism: Oryzias melastigma (Indian medaka)
Lineage: Eukaryota; Metazoa; Chordata; Actinopteri; Beloniformes; Adrianichthyidae
Exons: 2
Source: RefSeq, a predicted model, not a curated record